Molecule: ribosomal RNA, 514 nt
Filed under: uncultured bacterium
Lineage: Bacteria
Description: bacterial SSU rRNA
Rfam family: Bacterial small subunit ribosomal RNA
Source: RNAcentral
GAUUAUGGCUCAGGACGAACGCUGGCGGCGUGCCUAACACAUGCAAGUCGAGCGGAGACAUACGACGGAGUGGAAGUUUCGGAUGGAAGCGAAGAUGUAUGUUUAGCGGCGGACGGGUGAGUAACGCGUGAGCAACCUGUCCCUCACAGGGGGAUAACACAGCGAAAGUUGUACUAAUACCGCAUGAGACCACAGCAGGGCAUCCUGCGGGGGUCAAAGGAGCAAUCCGGUGAGGGGUGGGCUCGCGUCCGAUUAGAUAGUUGGUGGGGUAACGGCCUACCAAGUCGACGAUCGGUAGCCGACCUGAGAGGGUGAUCGGCCACAUUGGGACUGAGACACGGCCCAAACUCCUACGGGAGGCAGCAGUGGGGAAUAUUGGGCAAUGGGGGGAACCCUGACCCAGCAACGCCGCGUGAGGGAAGAAGGUUUUCGGAUCGUAAACCUCUGUCCUUGGUGAAGAGGAAGAGACGGUAGCCAAGGAGGAAGCCCCGGCUAACUACGUGCCAGCAGCAGC